CACUCUUCUGGCCCAGCAGGACCUCCUCUGCUCUUCUGCCUCUCUCUCCCCAUGGCGUGUCCUGACACCACCCCUCCGUCUAAAGUGGUUGCCCCCAUCCCUGGACUUCAGCCAGUGACUGAAGGGCUGCUUUCCGGCUGCCCCACCUCCUGCCCACACCUGGACGCCACUGCGCUCAUUUUUACAGACAACGCGGGCACCGCUCAGAGGGCCUCAUACACCUCACCCCAUCACCCCUCCAGGAGCACUAGAUGCUCCUGUGACCCACUCAGACCUACGCCGCAUCCCUAAGAAACAGGCCAGUGGCCAAAACCCCCAGCGACGGAUUGCAGCCCUGAUUGCCUAAGAACACCAGGGAGGGCCCAAUUCUUCAGGCUAAAGGCGCCCCCCCGCCCUGCAAUUGCAUCUCUGCCCCUCAGCCCCCAGGUCCUUCUCCCCUGCCCCCAGCUGUGCCUCUCCAGAGGGGAGAGGGAGACCCACCCUCACAGUCUGCGGCUUCAAGGCCAAGGGCAGGGUGAGUAUGGUGCUGCUGCAGGAGUGCGGACACCAGGUUGGGGCACGGGGGGCUCAGCACCUCCUCACUCCCAGAACUCUAAGGAGCCCCCGAGGGUUCCAUCUGGUGUGCCCCCCACACACAGUCCGCCCACAUUCCCAAAGCCAGGCCGCAAGGCCCAGUGUUUUCUUGCCUCUUCAGCUACAGAAACUUUCUUCGAGCAAACGAUGCGCAGCGCCCAAUAUAUGAAACCCUCACAGCUGAGCUGCUCUCCACCCCAGCGUGCCUAGUCUGUGCAGAACCAAGCAGAAAACCACCCAUCCGUCUAGAACUUCACUGGGCAACAGAGGUAACAGGGGAGGCUGAGAAGG
RNAcentral lists this long non-coding RNA (864 nucleotides) under Equus caballus (horse). RNAcentral's name for it is "lncRNA (ENSECAG00000052100.1)". Lineage: Eukaryota; Metazoa; Chordata; Mammalia; Perissodactyla; Equidae. The record is from RNAcentral.